Molecule: long non-coding RNA, 1540 nt
Filed under: Astyanax mexicanus (Mexican tetra)
Lineage: Eukaryota; Metazoa; Chordata; Actinopteri; Characiformes; Acestrorhamphidae
Description: lncRNA (ENSAMXG00005003046.1)
Source: RNAcentral
GCAGUGAGGAAAUCAUGUAUACAGUUUCCAGCCAAAGUAAUGGCUUCAGCUUAGCCAAGUUUAACCUUUUUAUUUUUUAUAUUCUGAACUCCACAGCGCUGUGUUUACUGUUUACAUAAAGCCUGUAUGAACUCUGUUCUAAUAAACUAACCACACAUUAUAGACAGUGCUUCUAUUAAUUCACACUCCAAAGCGCUGUCGUUUUGUUAUUAAUUCACAUUAAUGUUAAUCUCAUUGAUUUAUUAAAAGUUAUGUUUACCUGCUCUCUCUGCGUUCCGGGGGUCCUCAGCUGAGAUGUGGGAUACAAGGACCCGUUUCACCCCUACCAUGUUCAUGAAAUUGAUGUCGAGCCUUAUAAAUGUGUUGCUCUGCUCUAGCUGAAGAGGCCAGGUCGAACAAUUCUUUUUUGAUAAAGGUCAGGAGUAGGAGCCACAGCAAGCUGUAUGUCUAUAUCUUCCAUGUUUACAGCUUCUUUGACAACACCAGUUGUAAAAAGCGCUAUACAAAUAACUUUGAUUUGAUUUGGUUCAGAGAGUUCCAUUAUCUUAGUCAAAGUUUUUCCUUUUCUUAUUUGAGCCAUAACUAAUAAUUUGACCCCGCAAAAAUGCCUUCAUUGCUUUCCACUGCACGGGGGGGAAGGGGGGUUCCUAGCACCAAUCAGCUCUCUCAUGUAGCUUGGUGUUAGCACUUUUUGAGUGGACUCUGCUCUUUUAAAAUGCUGGAUAAUCUUGAGCACUGUGCAGCAGCUCAGUUUUAGGGUGUUGGCAAUCCUCUUGUAGUUUUGGCCAUCUUCAUGUGGGGGAACAAUUCUUUUUUUAAGAUCCUCAGAGAGUUCUUUGCCAUGAGGUGCCAUGUUGAAACUUUCAGUGACAAGUAUGAGAGAGUGUAAGAGUUGUACUACAAAAUUGUGUGUGUGUGUGUGUGUGUGUGUGUGUGUGUUUGUAUUUCAGAUUCUGUGUAAAGGUCAGAAGAUCUUGCUAAAGAGCAUCAGUCUGAGUCGCCCUGGCGCUCUCUCUCACAGCCAGCAGAGCCAGCUAGAGGCCGAAUGUACAGAGCUGGAUCCUGAAGUGGCUGCUGCACUGCACAUGCUGCAAUCCCACAACCUUGGCUUAGACGUCUGACAGGACAGAGAAGACACUUUACACCAGAGGUCGACUUGAUAAAUCAGCUGGUUGAUGAUGAUAAUUGGGCUGAUGACCUGCAGUUUGUGUGAGAAUAUAACAGUAUACUGUUCUAACGGAGACACACACUUAUAGAUAAUGAUAUGACAAUAAUAUAUACUGGAGAACUGGAACACUAAACUCAAUCAUACCUAUAAAAAACAUACAAAUGCAAUAUCAGCAUCAGAGAAACGUUAUAAUACAGAAACACUGCUGCAGUAUUGUAAUGUUUAAGGCUGUACGUUCUGACUUAUCUUUCAGUUCUGAUAAUCAAUAGGGUAAUAUUUACUGUUAUAAUUUGAUGUACAAUUAAAGUACACAGUUUGACACAGUAAUCUGGUUUCACUGAUCACAUUUAUUUGUGUGCAGAUAUUUUAAUG